GGGUCUGUAGCUCAGUUGGUAGAGCACUCGACUUUUAAUCGAGGUGUCGCGCGUUCAAGCCGCGCCAGUCCCACCA
Molecule: transfer RNA, 76 nt
Filed under: Lachnospiraceae bacterium
Lineage: Bacteria; Bacillati; Bacillota; Clostridia; Lachnospirales; Lachnospiraceae
Description: tRNA-Lys
Rfam family: tRNA
About the family: Transfer RNA (tRNA) molecules are approximately 80 nucleotides in length. Their secondary structure includes four short double-helical elements and three loops (D, anti-codon, and T loops).
Source: RNAcentral